Small nuclear RNA from Chelonoidis abingdonii (Abingdon island giant tortoise), 128 nucleotides. The record is from Ensembl. NCBI's taxonomy places the organism in Eukaryota, Metazoa, Chordata, Testudines, Testudinidae.
GUGAUGAUGCCCCUAGCCUGACUCAUCUUAGGCAGCACAUAUACUAAAAUUGGAAUGAUACAGAGAAGAUUAGCAUGGCCCCUGCACAAGGAUGGAAUGCAAAUUGGUGGGUGGGAUAGCUCAAUGGU